CCCCUUCAAUUAUCUUCUCUCCCCGACAUUGUUCUCUCCUAAUGAGGAGGCUAAUGACCAAAGGAUGGUUCAUAAGUGGUUCCCAGACUCUCCUUGCCCAGGGCAAACACCCGUCCACAAUAGGAUCACAAAUUGUAGGGAGAAGCCCCGGCUGAUCACAUCAGAAACGGUGCGGGGAUUUAUCUCCCUGCCUUAACAACAACAGCGUGCUCUUAAUCGCCGCUCCAAAGGGACAGCUAGCGGGGGAUCUGCCCGGCCUCAUCAUUAAAAGCUGGCAGCAUCUUUGCUAGCGCUGCCCCUUUGUUCAUCUUUCAUUAUCCCGACGCUCCGGCCCCGUUAAUUCCCCUCCAUCUUAUUAAAUCAAUAGAGAGGGAGCGGGGGGGAAAGGGACGGGGCAGAGCGGGGGUCGCAUCCUGCUGGGCUCCCGGCAAGGGGUGCGGGGUGUCGAGGGGACGGUCCGAGAGUUUGAGGCUGCAUUUCCCAGCCUCUGCGGCUGGGGAAACUGAGGCACGAGGGCAGCCCAAGCCCGGGGGAGUUUCGGCACUCAGGGGACGCUUUAUCCCACCGCCAGUCCCGCACCUCCCACGUUUUCCCUUAUUUCAUCCACCCCACCCCAUCGGGACGGACUUGAUUGAAUGCGAUCGAGUUUUAUAAUAAAAUCAGCCUCCCCCCCAAAAAAAAAACCAUUCCCCGUGAGCACCACGGAGAUCCCAAGGGGCUGCUGAAGUGGUCCUUCCACUGAGCUCCGGCCUGCAGAAGGAAAAAUGAGGGGUUAAGACAAGCAGGAUAAAAAGCUGUUCUCCUGAAAGUCGGAGGGGGCUUGCCCACACCAGAACCCUCCUGGGAACGUCCCCACAAACCAUCCUGGGAUCCCCCUUGCAGGGGAAUUCGGGCUCUGGGCUCUGUACCCACCCCCAUGACCAAUGGUGCAGUUUUCUUUGAUUUUUUCUUUGUUUUUCUCUUUUCCCCAGCUGCUCGUCCCAGCGAAACGAACCAGACAGGUUCCUCAGAGCCCUGUGGCAUGGAGGGAGCUGCUCCGGUGCUGGGCCAGGAGGGAAGGAGCAGGGCCAGGAGCACCAGCGGCUGCGGCAGGGCCCCAUGGCAAACCCAGAUGGGUGAAAGAACAGCAGUACCGUGCACAGUCUUGGGAAGGGACUGGUGGGCUGCAGGGCAGAAGGACCCUCAGGGGACACAAGGAGCAAAGACUCUGUCCCAGGUGAUUUUAUCCAGCCCAAAACCUUGCCAAGCUCUCGGAGCAUUUGAAAAAGUCAAUCAAGCCCAUCAGGUUUAAUUAAAGCCGUUUCCCCAGUUGGAUGCUGCCUGAGCUGCAGGGGCAUCGCCUGGCACAGGGACGGGUCCAAAGGGCCCGAUCCUGCCCGAUGCUGAGCACUGCCAGCUCCCAGGGGAUUAAACGUGUCCUGAGAACAACUUAACUCUCAAUCAGCUCGGCCCCCGGCCGGGCGAUAUUAAAACACCCCCGUAAGCCCUGUUGUCUCGGGGAUGAUUGCAAUAAACCCACCGGCACGCCAGAUUAGCGGGUCA
RNAcentral lists this long non-coding RNA (1542 nucleotides) under Anser cygnoides (Swan goose). RNAcentral describes it as "lncRNA (ENSACDG00005015684.1)". The record is from RNAcentral. Lineage: Eukaryota; Metazoa; Chordata; Aves; Anseriformes; Anatidae.